UAUUGAUUGGUGCUUGCAUCAUGAUUUACAUUUGAGUGAGUGGCGAACUGGUGAGUAACACGUGGGAAACCUGCCCAGAAGCGGGGGAUAACACCUGGAAACAGAUGCUAAUACCGCAUAACAACUUGGACCGCAUGGUCCGAGUUUGAAAGAUGGCUUCGGCUAUCACUUUUGGAUGGUCCCGCGGCGUAUUAGCUAGAUGGUGGGGUAACGGCUCACCAUGGCAAUGAUACGUAGCCGACCUGAGAGGGUAAUCGGCCACAUUGGGACUGAGACACGGCCCAAACUCCUACGGGAGGCAGCAGUAGGGAAUCUUCCACAAUGGACGAAAGUCUGAUGGAGCAACGCCGCGUGAGUGAAGAAGGGUUUCGGCUCGUAAAACUCUGUUGUUAAAGAAGAACAUAUCUGAGAGUAACUGUUCAGGUAUUGACGGUAUUUAACCAGAAAGCCACGGCUAACUACGUGCCAGCAGCCGCGGUAAUACGUAGGUGGCAAGCGUUGUCCGGAUUUAUUGGGCGUAAAGCGAGCGCAGGCGGUUUUUUAAGUCUGAUGUGAAAGCCUUCGGCUCAACCGAAGAAGUGCAUCGGAAACUGGGAAACUUGAGUGCAGAAGAGGACAGUGGAACUCCAUGUGUAGCGGUGAAAUGCGUAGAUAUAUGGAAGAACACCAGUGGCGAAGGCGGCUGUCUGGUCUGUAACUGACGCUGAGGCUCGAAAGUAUGGGUAGCAAACAGGAUUAGAUACCCUGGUAGUCCAUACCGUAAACGAUGAAUGCUAAGUGUUGGAGGGUUUCCGCCCUUCAGUGCUGCAGCUAACGCAUUAAGCAUUCCGCCUGGGGAGUACGGCCGCAAGGCUGAAACUCAAAGGAAUUGACGGGGGCCCGCACAAGCGGUGGAGCAUGUGGUUUAAUUCGAA
RNAcentral lists this ribosomal RNA (914 nucleotides) under Lactiplantibacillus plantarum. RNAcentral describes it as "bacterial SSU rRNA". It matches the Rfam family "Bacterial small subunit ribosomal RNA", at positions 68 to 955 of the family's 1533-position model. Lineage: Bacteria; Bacillati; Bacillota; Bacilli; Lactobacillales; Lactobacillaceae. The record is from RNAcentral.